Molecule: long non-coding RNA, 339 nt
Filed under: Phoenix dactylifera (date palm)
Lineage: Eukaryota; Viridiplantae; Streptophyta; Magnoliopsida; Arecales; Arecaceae
Description: long non-coding RNA (PDAC_LNC010809)
Source: RNAcentral
CAAGAGGGGGGAUGAAUUGGGUUUUAAAAUAAUUUUAACUAUUAAAGCGUUUGUGGGUGACUAAUUAAUGCUUUUUACAAGAUGAUUAAUUAGUUGCUGUGAUGUGUAUGAAAUGAGAGUAAUGGUAAGAGACAAGCAAUCACAAACACAAAGCUUUUAUAGUGGUUCGGAGCUAACCCUUACUCCUACGUCCACUCCCCAAGUCUCACUUGGGAAUUCACUAUAACUCCUUGGAUUACAGCCGGUUGUUUUCCAAGCUCACAACCAAACUUGUUGUUUUACGAGCUCACAACGAACUCGGUCGGUUUUUCCAGGCUCACCGACUAGAACCAACCCCGA